RNAcentral lists this microRNA precursor (78 nucleotides) under Podarcis lilfordi (Lilford's wall lizard). Lineage: Eukaryota; Metazoa; Chordata; Lepidosauria; Squamata; Lacertidae. The record is from RNAcentral.
AGUGAAGGCAACCCGAAGCCUCCAGAGCGCGGUGGGAGUUCCCACUGCGCUCUGGAGGCUUCGGGUUCCUUUCAACCU